Molecule: transfer RNA, 72 nt
Filed under: Chelonia mydas (Green sea turtle)
Lineage: Eukaryota; Metazoa; Chordata; Testudines; Cheloniidae
Rfam family: tRNA
About the family: Transfer RNA (tRNA) molecules are approximately 80 nucleotides in length. Their secondary structure includes four short double-helical elements and three loops (D, anti-codon, and T loops).
Source: Rfam by way of RNAcentral
GGCAGUGUUGCCUAGUAGAUAGGGCACUAGGCUGUGACUCAGGAGAUUUGGGUUCAAUCCCUGGCUCUGCCA